CUCGUAGCCUAGAGAAAAGUAAGAAGUGAGGUGAAUCAGCUGGUUCAAAUGGAAAUUCUCUUAGACAUGGGAACUCUCACCGUUCAGGUGAAAAGUGACUCCUUGCUGGUUUUGAGCCAGCUUACAUGAAAUCCAGCCGGAAGGUGCCCACGUGCUUGUUCGAGAGGGGCCGGAGAGCGAGUGGUUAGUGGCGAGAAGACAGGGAUGGACCAGAAAAAUAGAUUAAACUCUUGGAGAGUUUGAUGGAUAAGAUUGGUUAAGGGACUGUUGAAAGAUUGAGUCAAGGUUCCCAUAGCAGAGAAGAAGUACAUCUACGACACUUGGGUGAUUAAGAUCAAACUUUUUUUGCACCUUUAAGUUGCUUUUGUUUGGAUGUAAAAUAUUUUUUAGAAAAUAUUUAUUUUUUAAUUUUUUGGUGUAUGGUUGUCGUAAAACCUAACAAAAAUAAUUUAUCUAUCAAUUUUUGACAAUUUAUUUUAUACGUUCGCCCGAUGGACUCGACCUAGACUUUUGCCAAAUACCGAAAAAUAAAAAUAAAAAAAUAAAAUUCCAUCAAGUAGCCAACCAUCAAGUGUAUAAUUCAUAAGCAGAUUUUUUUGGGUGGUAAUCAACAAUUCACGAUCAUAUAUAAUUUAUUCACAGAAUGUUAUAGCGCUUCCAAACAUUGCAAAAGUAACCGAAACCUGAGAUAGAAAA
Molecule: long non-coding RNA, 696 nt
Organism: Cornus florida
Lineage: Eukaryota; Viridiplantae; Streptophyta; Magnoliopsida; Cornales; Cornaceae
Exons: 2
Source: RefSeq, a predicted model, not a curated record